Molecule: long non-coding RNA, 452 nt
Filed under: Hordeum vulgare
Lineage: Eukaryota; Viridiplantae; Streptophyta; Magnoliopsida; Poales; Poaceae
Description: long non-coding RNA (HVUL_LNC000879)
Source: RNAcentral
UUUUAUUCUUUUAAAACAUAGAGUGUUGCCCUUAAGUGAAGAAAAGAUCCCAAAGAGGACAAAUUAAAAGAUCCCAAAGAGGACACAUUAAAAUAUCCCAAAGAGGACAAACUAAAAGAUCCCAAAGAGGACAAAUGAGCGGUACAUAGAAAGAGCCAAAGAGGCCAGAAAAAAAUUAAAGAAAUAAAAAGAGAGAAGGGGGUAACACUACUAUUCCUUUUGAAAGAUCCACACUCGUACUCCAUCGUUAUAUUUGUACUCCAUAGAGAUUAUCAUUCAUGCAUAACUAUGUGGGGACCCUUUACACUAUAGAACUUGGCUUGUAUAUUCCAAUGACGAGCCUCCUCAAAUGAGCUCUAGGUCUUGAUGAGCAAGCAAGCUGGAUGCACCCCCACUAGUUCCAUUGGAGAGCUUACCUUAGAUCAUAUGUGCAUCCGUUGCAUGAAAAUACC